AUUGAACGCUGGCGGAAUGCUUUACACAUGCAAGUCGAACGGUAACAGGUUAAGCUGACGAGUGGCGAACGGGUGAGUAAUACAUCGGAACGUGCCCAGUCGUGGGGGAUAACGUAGAGAAAUUUACGCUAAUACCGCAUACGAUCUAAGGAUGAAAGCGGGGGACCGUAAGGCCUCGCGCGAUUGGAGCGGCCGAUGUCAGAUUAGGUGGUGGGUGGGGUAAAGGCCUACCAAGCCGACGAGCUGUAGCUGGUCUGAGAGGACGACCAGCCCCACUGGGACUGAGGCACGGCGCAGAGUGGGGGGGGAGGCAGCAGUGGGGAAUUUUGGACAAUGGGCGCAAGCCUGAUCCAGCCAUUCCGCGUGCAGGAUGAAGGCCCUCGGGUUGUAAACUGCUUUUGUACAGAACGAAAAGGUCUGGGUUAAUACCCUGGGCUCAUGACGGUACUGUAAGAAUAAGCACCGGCUAACUACGUGCCAGCAGCCGCCGUAA
Molecule: ribosomal RNA, 493 nt
Filed under: uncultured bacterium
Lineage: Bacteria
Description: partial 16S ribosomal RNA
Rfam family: Bacterial small subunit ribosomal RNA
Source: RNAcentral